UUAGGUUUAUCCAACUCGUUGAAUCGUCUGAUGGCAAGUGUUUAGUAGCAUUGGCUCGGCCUUACAACAACAAACAAGUUUGACCUCAAAUCAGGUAGGAUUACCCGCUGAACUUAAGCAUAUCAAUAAGCGGAGGAAAAGAAACCAACAGGGAUUGCCUUAGUAACGGCGAGUGAAGCGGCAAAAGCUCAAAUUUGAAAUCUGGCACCUUCGGUGUCCGAGUUGUAAUUUGAAGAAGGAAGAUUUAUGGGUCUUGUCUAAGUUCCUUGGAAAAGGACAUCACAGAGGGUGAGAAUCCCGUGCGAUGAGAUUCCGUAUUGUAAUCUUCCUUCGAAGAGUCGAGUUGUUUGGGAAUGCAGCUCUAAGUGGGUGGUAAAUUCCAUCUAAAGCUAAAUAUUGGCGAGAGACCGAUAGCGAACAAGUACUGUGAAGGAAAGAUGAAAAGAACUUUGAAAAGAGAGUGAAAAAGUACGUGAAAUUGUUGAAAGGGAAGGAUUUGAGAUCAGACUUGGUAUUUUGCAACCUUACUCUCGUGGUGGGGCCCCUGCAGUUUAUCGGGCCAGCAUCAGUUUGGACGAUGGGAUAAUGACUCAGGAAUGUGAUUCUACUUCGGUGGAAAGUUAUAGCCUUUGUUGAUACCGUCUGUCUAGACUGAGGACUGCGUCUUUUGACAAGGAUGUUGGCAUAAUGAUCUUAAAUCACCCGUCUUGAAACACGGACCAAGGAGUCUAACGUCUAUGCAAGUGUUUGGGUGUUAAACCCGUACGCGUAAUGAAAGUGAACGUAGGUGAGAACUCUUUUGAGUGCAUCAUCGACCGAUCCUGAUGUCUUCGGAUG
This 837-nucleotide ribosomal RNA is filed under the name Priceomyces medius. Its description in RNAcentral is "LSU rRNA". It matches the Rfam family "Eukaryotic large subunit ribosomal RNA", at positions 1 to 786 of the family's 3401-position model. The record is from RNAcentral. Lineage: Eukaryota; Fungi; Ascomycota; Pichiomycetes; Serinales; Debaryomycetaceae.